Molecule: unclassified non-coding RNA, 611 nt
Filed under: Hevea brasiliensis (rubber tree)
Lineage: Eukaryota; Viridiplantae; Streptophyta; Magnoliopsida; Malpighiales; Euphorbiaceae
Source: RNAcentral
UAAAAUGACAUUGCUCGAUAUCAUGACCAUAAUUUAACAAGUCAGUCACAAGAAAAAGCAUCUAAACUCUACAAACAACAAUAAUUAAGAAAAGAGAAAAAAACAAUAAAUACAAGUCAACAGUAAUACCUAUGGACAUCCCAUACUGUGGCAGCAAUAACAGCCUCUUCCUUGAGCCUUCUUAUAUCUCUAUCAACACAGAGAUAAAACUUCCUUCACCUUCUCAUCUGUCUCUUUUCACCAAAUUGCAGUCCAUAUCAGACUAAAAACUUUGUAAGGGAUAUUUUCUUGGCCUUCCCCUCUUCUUUGGUAAACGCCCUGUGGCACUCCCAUCUGAAACAUGCACACCUCCACCACCUCUUGCUAUCCCAGUCCUCGCAGGUGCUGCACCUGCACUCACAUUACCAUUUUUAUCACUCACUUGCUGCCCCAAGGCAAACACUGGCGGCGUAUCUGCCGUGGAGAUGCCACCAUUUUUAUCACCAACUUGCUGCCCCGGGGAGAAAAUUGGCGGCAUCCAAUUUGGAAACAUAGACGUCUGUCCCGACCCAGACCCAAUGUUUUUCGCUCCACUCUCUGAACUGCCAAACAUAAAGCCCAAAGGAAAAAAA